RNAcentral lists this non-coding RNA (31 nucleotides) under Homo sapiens (human). The record is from RNAcentral. Lineage: Eukaryota; Metazoa; Chordata; Mammalia; Primates; Hominidae.
UGAGCCUCAAGGAGCCUCUGCGACUCGGUGU